Long non-coding RNA from Physeter macrocephalus (sperm whale), 2303 nucleotides. RefSeq lists it as uncharacterized. The transcript is spliced from 3 exons. NCBI's taxonomy places the organism in Eukaryota, Metazoa, Chordata, Mammalia, Artiodactyla, Physeteridae. The record is from RefSeq and is a predicted model, not a curated record.
AAAGAUAACUGUUAGGUGAAUGAAUGAAUGAAUGAAUGAACAGGUAGCACCAACACACUGGAAAAGAAAGGAAACCACUCAGGAGUUUUGCAAGAGUGUUCCAGGGCCCCGGGGCAAGGCUGCACUUUGUCUUCCUGCCUGCAUUUCAUAGCUGAAUUUUAGUUCACAUGUACCUGAGGACCCAACACACACACGGACUCAGUAGCAGGGAAACCUGGCAUCUCAUUCAAGCACCUUCUUCCCCACACGGCCCUCUCCAGGGUGGGUAAUGGGCCACCCCGUUGUAUGACCUUCAUAGCAUUUACCGUUCUCUGAAAAUACCUUGCUAGCUGUUUGCCUACUUGCCUCCUUCCACUACAACGUAACCUCAGGAGGUCCACGUCCUGGUCACCAGGCUGGGUCUGCAGUGUCUGGCUACUUCAAAUCUCUCUUUGGUUCUGCCGUCACAUCGCCUCCUUCUUUUGUGUCAAAUCUCUCUUGGCCUCCUUCUUAUAAAGACCCUUGUGAUGAUGCUUAGGACCAAGCCAGAUAAUACAGGAUAACCUCCCCAUCUCAAGAUCCAUGACUUUAAUCACACCUGCAAAGUCCCUUCUGCUGUAUAACGUGGCAUUUACAGGGUCUGGGGGUGAGGACCUGGACAUCUUGGGGGCAUGGCUGAGCUGACCCCAGGGCCUCGCAGAAGGCAUCUGUGCAGGGGGGCCUUCUGGAAGCCAGGGCCCGACAGGGUGUUGUCAGCAGCUAUCGGCUCCAGUGACUCGGGCAGUGGGGAUGGGCAGGUUCCAAAGAAGCCACACAAGUGGGCACAGAAUGACUGCAGGCCUGUGUCUGCCAUAGCCAAGGUCAUUUCACAGCUGAGAGUGAGCUCCAGCUCCACCAGCUACGGGAGACUGUUCUGUCUUCUCUGCAGCAGCCCCGACACACGUGCUGGGGGAGCCGGACACAGCUCCCAGGACGCAGAAGCCUGCAAAGCGGUGAGAGGAACGGUGGGAGAGCUGGGGGGGGCACGGCUCCGCAUCCGAGAACUGGGCAGAGAAUUUGUAAAUUAGAUGUCAGAUUGAAGCCUUGAGAGCCGACGGGACUGGCGCUUUAACAGCUGGAUAAUGGCACAUGGAGCAUCCUCCAAGAGUGACUGGGGAAACUGCAGGAUCUGCCAGGAUCUCUUCUGGGGACCAGGCUGAAAGGGUCAGACACGAGAAAGCAAACACUCUUCUGCUUCCAUUGCCCUUCGCGGAGGCUCUUGUUCAAUAAACAAGUUUCUCUGUCAUCCUCCCUCCUGGGAGGGCUCAGGUGACCUCGCUUUAAGAAAACCUGGUAGGACAGCACCAAGCCUCAUACAGGAGUGAGAAAUCCUGAGGAAUCUUCCUUUCCAGCCUGGGCUUCCACUACAAGCAAGCUAUGCUUUGAAAAUCUGCUCUAAUGAACGACAGCAGCAAGGGGACUGACCCUCACAACAUUUAUCACAAUGAGUCUUGUACACUGGAGGGUCUACUUGUACCACCGGCAAUGAACGUGCUGCUCAAACAGCUGGACUUUGGCUGCUUUGUUGCUGUGAUCCUCAAGGUGACCCGUCUCCUGUGCAUCCAUCACACCCACUUCAGAUCCCGCCUUCUCUGGGGAGCCUCCCUCUGACCACGGCAGUCCAUAGUGCCUGCUCCCUUCCACCAACUCAUUCAUUCAUUCAUUCACUCAUUCUUUCAUGAGUGUCUACUGAGGGUCUGCUCUGUGCCAGAAAAAAACAGGUCCUUCCCAGCACUAAUCACUUCCAUCCUACUCAAAUCGACGAUGCUGAAUUUUACCUGCCCCUGGAAAACAGCGAAGAUUUAGAAACCCUCUCACCCUUUUGUGUUCUGCAAAGACGGCUCACUGCAAAGCACCAACCUUCCACAGGUGACUCGGUUGCAACUCACAGAUCCUCCCCGCCCCGUUUACCUGUGACAAGUACGCGGGCCUCUCACUGUUGUGGCCUCUCCGGUUGUGGAGCACAGGCUCCGGACGCACAGGCUCAGCGACCAUGGCUCACGGGCCCAGCCGCUCCGCGGCAUGUGGGAUCUUCCCGGACUGGGGCGCGAACCCACGUCCCCUGCAUCGGCAGGCGGACUCCCAACCACUGCACCACCAGGGAAGCCCCAACCAUCUUCCCCCUUUUUAAGUGUACGGUUCAGUUGUGUUCAUCGUUAUGCUACCUCAACCACCAUCCACCUCCGGAACUUUUUCAUCUUGCAAAACUGAAACUCUGUCCUCAUUAAACCACUUCCCAUCCUUCCCUCCCUCAGCCCCUGAUAACCACGAUUCUACUUUCUGUC